This 505-nucleotide ribosomal RNA is filed under the name uncultured bacterium. RNAcentral describes it as "partial 16S ribosomal RNA". It matches the Rfam family "Bacterial small subunit ribosomal RNA", at positions 28 to 507 of the family's 1533-position model. The record is from RNAcentral.
GACGAACGCUGGCGGCGUGCCUAAUACAUGCAAGUAGAACGCACAGUUUAUACCGUAGCUUGCUACACCAUAGACUGUGAGUUGCGAACGGGUGAGUAACGCGUAGGUAACCUGCCUGGUAGCGGGGGAUAACUAUUGGAAACGAUAGCUAAUACCGCAUAAUAUUAAUUAUUGCAUGAUAAUUAAUUGAAAGGUGCAAUUGCACCACUACCAGAUGGACCUGCGUUGUAUUAGCUAGUAGGUGAGGUAACGGCUCACCUAGGCGACGAUACAUAGCCGACCUGAGAGGGUGAUCGGCCACACUGGGACUGAGACACGGCCCAGACUCCUACGGGAGGCAGCAGUAGGGAAUCUUCGGCAAUGGACGAAAGUCUGACCGAGCAACGCCGCGGGAGUGAAGAAGGGUGUCGGAUCGUAAAGCUCUGUUGUAAGAGAAGAACGGGUGUGAGAGUGGAAAGUUCACACUGUGACGGUAGCUUACCAGAAAGGGACGGCUAACUACGUG